This is a non-coding RNA of Oryctolagus cuniculus (rabbit), 879 nucleotides long. Lineage: Eukaryota; Metazoa; Chordata; Mammalia; Lagomorpha; Leporidae. The record is from RefSeq and is a predicted model, not a curated record.
CCUGGGGGCUGGGAAGCCAGUUCUGCAUACUCUUAGAGGGGGCUGGGGGUGCCCCCUGAGUGAGGUCUCAUUCCCAAGAAGCCAGGUCCUGCAGAAAGUAACUUUUUUGGAGAGGUGACAACAGAAUUCCUUUUGAGCGAGAUUUCCUUCCUCCGUGUAUUUAUUUACUUUGGGCUGAGUGAUUCAGCGAAAGGACCUCAAAACCAGGCUCCAGUGGAAGGCAGGAAGAACCAAACCCUCAGACAUCAAUGUCCCACACAUCUACACUGAACUGGACUGAGAACGUGCAAGGUUGCGGUGGAAGUAGUGCCAGCCUGGGAGUUAAUUCGGGGGACCUGGGUUCCGUUUCUCCUUUGGUGUACCAAGCCACAGGACCUUGGACGCAAAGGUGAUCAAACUGCACUACAUCACAACAUGACUGGAGAAGAAUGUGACCAUCAGCUGGGUGACUCAGGACUACUGGAGUGUCCCACCAUCCUGGCCUCUCACAUUCACUCUCCCACUCCAGGCAGCUGUUCAGCUCUGCAUCCUGUCCUCCCAUGUGGCUCAUAGAUCCUCCAUCUGUAGACCCUCCCUGGUGAUGAGGUUGAUGCUGUCCUUGAAAACAUCAGAUGUGGUCAGAAGAGAACGGCCAACCACCAUAUCCACCCUCCUUGUGGUGCCGACCCCCCCCCCCCCCAUACGCUGCCUUCUCUCUCGGUCCCGGGAUGAAUCCUGCGCUCCUGCUCAAGGUGCUGUAGACAUCACACUCUCCAAUUCUCGGAUGUUGUGCCAACAGCAUCUCUCUCAUAUCCUGCAUCCUCUUUGCUUUCUCUGUGAGUCAUUUCCAAUACUGAAACAUGCCAUUGUAAUCUCUACUUAAUAAAAGCCUUCUGUUGA